UGCAUAUCAAUAAGCGGAGGAAAAGAAACCAACAGGGAUUGCCUUAGUAGCGGCGAGUGAAGCGGCAAAAGCUCAAAUUUGAAAUCUGGCUCUUUCAGAGUCCGAGUUGUAAUUUGAAGAAGGUAUCUUUGGGUCUGGCUCUUGUCUAUGUUUCUUGGAACAGAACGUCACAGAGGGUGAGAAUCCCGUGCGAUGAGAUGAUCCAGGCCUAUGUAAAGUUCCUUCGAAGAGUCGAGUUGUUUGGGAAUGCAGCUCUAAGUGGGUGGUAAAUUCCAUCUAAAGCUAAAUAUUGGCGAGAGACCGAUAGCGAACAAGUACAGUGAUGGAAAGAUGAAAAGAACUUUGAAAAGAGAGUGAAAAAGUACGUGAAAUUGUUGAAAGGGAAGGGCUUGAGAUCAGACUUGGUAUUUUGUAUGUUACUUCUUCGGGGGUGGCCUCUACAGUUUAUCGGGCCAGCAUCAGUUUGGGCGGUAGGAGAAUUGCGUUGGAAUGUGGCACGGCUUCGGUUGUGUGUUAUAGCCUUCGUCGAUACUGCCAGCCUAGACUGAGGACUGCGGUUUAUACCUAGGAUGUUGGCAUAAUGAUCUUAAGUCGCCCGUCUUGAAACACGGAC
RNAcentral lists this ribosomal RNA (613 nucleotides) under Candida tropicalis. Its description in RNAcentral is "eukaryotic LSU rRNA". It matches the Rfam family "Eukaryotic large subunit ribosomal RNA", at positions 37 to 666 of the family's 3401-position model. The record is from RNAcentral. Lineage: Eukaryota; Fungi; Ascomycota; Pichiomycetes; Serinales; Debaryomycetaceae.